Paramormyrops kingsleyae is the source of this 3865-nucleotide non-coding RNA. NCBI's taxonomy places the organism in Eukaryota, Metazoa, Chordata, Actinopteri, Osteoglossiformes, Mormyridae. The record is from RefSeq and is a predicted model, not a curated record.
CCAAUGAUGACUUCAUCCCCCCCUUCGACACUCCCUCCCUACACCACUCGGGAGAAGAGUGAUGCCCGGGAAUAGGGCCCGCGUGUGUGCACCGGCCUGCUCAUUAGCGCCAUCCUCUAGGUCUGUGAGGUUCAGCUGUUUGGUGGGAUGACAUCCUUUCUGGGAAUACUGGCACCUGUGUGGAAUUCAAUCCCCUGACUUAACAGAAGAAGCUUUUGCCUGGUGCUUAGUUGGGCUGUUUUGUGAGACGUGGCCACACCAUCAUUUAGGAGGCUUUCUGGACCUGUCCUGUAAUGGGAAGUAGUUAACAUAUCACAAAGAGCUGUAGUUGUUGCCCCUACAUUACGGUAUUAGCAGUGAAUAUAGAUCUGUAGAAAUACAUAUUUUGUAUCCACUUCUCCUGUGUUUCAGGCACCGUCUGGUCUUCAGACCUGUGGCCAAAUUGAGUUGCAUGUCUGUACUGAAUGCCGACUGCUUUUCGAUCUCAUGGCAUCUGUCUGGUAAUAUGGAAGGCAAGAUGUUGCACUUGACCCCUGCAGUAGUUUUGGAAGUGAAUCACCUCUUACUGUAGCUGGCAGUGGAUGAGGCCUCUAGCCGGACUCAUAUUAAGGAGCUCUCGAGAGAGUCGUCUGUUCAGACCACAACUGGCCGGGGCAACUCCCGCUCCUGUAAUUGCCCCUCAUUGGUGCACAUGCCCUGCUCAGGUGCGUACAGGGACACAAAUAGCCUGGAUUUGUUUUCCCAGGCUUCUAAGUAUGAAGAAGCCGCCUAUUUUUGGACUGAUGGCUUGCUCUAAACAUGAAAAGGUUGUUUCAAGGUUGAACAAGCGUAUCUCCUCUCGUCUCUUCCUCCAGAUAUCCCCAAGUGGGGUUGGCGUUUUGUUAAACUUUAAAGCCUCAAUCAUGUGAUGAAAUAUCAUUUUCAAUGGUGAUGAUGAAAUCAACAAAAUCGCAGAUGGACCCACGGAACUUAUAGUGAUUUUCUGGCGAGGUGGGUGGGGGCAUUUUAGUCAUAAUGGGGGAUGAUGUUAGGCUGAGUGUCGAUAUUCAUUCCCAUGGUUUGCCUCCUCAGUCCACUGAAACUUAACAACUUUUUUUUUUUUUUUUUUGCUGAAUGGUUGCAUUGUUUGCUCAUAAAAUCAUCUCAUGGGCAAUUUUUCAGAGUAAUGGACCCAUUCAGAUAAUGUUAUGUUUUCAGAUUUUCACACUGUAACCGCUGAGAACGGCACUGCCCACUGCAUGCUAAUGUAAACGACUGACACCACCCUUCUCAAAUUGCCAUCCGAUUUGGGCAAUUUUCAUACAGCAAUUCAUCUUGAAACUCAGGCAGGUUCCAGAAGGCGAUAACCUAAAUGUCAGUGGUAGCCUUGAGCCAAGAGGGGGUCCAAUAUUGUGAAGCGUGAAAGCUCUAAAAGAUUGAGAGACAGUGGCGGGUUUGAAUCUUGCAUGGGACACAGCUGGCCCGUCCUUUACAAAGCUCCUUUAGAGAGACUGAUGCAGAGAAUAUGUGGCUUCAUGAAACCAUCGCAUCCAUGGCAUAGAAUUGUAUGCAUGGCAAAGAGUGUCUGAGAAGAAAAGGAAUAAUUCAGUUUUUCUCCUUUUUGUACACUACAUGCCCAAAGGAGGCACUUUUCCAGCAGUCAGGCUUCACCUGCGGGCUGCAGCCUUUGACAGACCUGCGCAGGAACCCUCCAUAUGUAGCUCAGAGGACCUGGAGAAGUGGCGCUUGGUGGAGGGGAAGCUAAAGUAUCCAGCUCCUACACCGCUACGUCACACCAUCUGGUGGAGAUGGGGGCACCCCCCAAACCCGCCCCUUUUGGACACCAGCCAAAGACUUUGUCAUCAUUUACUAAACCAGAUGCCAGUCACCCGUGUGUGUUGGAGCACAGCUGGGGUAUUAGUGGCUUUUUUCCUUAGAAAAUAUUGACAGAAGUUGAGCAGGAAUAUUGGCAUCUCUGGAUGGUGAUUUUUAUAUAUAAUACACAGGCAGACAGACAGACAGACAUGACCUGCAAUAGAGGGGUCUGACGGAACUGCCUGGGAUAUGGUCUGGGCUCCCGCCCGAGGUGGGUGGGUGGAUUGAUGGAUUGAUGGAUGGAUGGAUGAAUGGAUGGAUAGAUAUGGAUCUCACUUCUUUUGUUCUGAUUUUUGCUAAUUACCUGUCAUUUCUGAGUUGCCUCGAGUAUCUUAAAAAGCCUUGCUGUUCAGAGUGUUUGCAGUAAUGCCAUUACUUUUUUACACAUGCAUCUACAUAGGCAUACACCUAUACCGUACGUUGAUGGAUUGCAAGUUCACCCUGUUUUCUUAUUUAUUAUUUUUAUUUUAAGAUCAGGGCAAUCAAUCACUCCAAACCAUUUUGUUUCACUAGCUGCAAUUACCCUUGUGUGAUGGCAGCCAUUUGUUACCGCGUUUGAAUCUGUGUCACGCCGCUUUUCCUCUAGCAGGUCAGCGGUGCUCCUCUGCCCCGCGUUCACUUCUUCCCUGUUUGGCAUUUUGCUGCAAAAAAAAAAAUAUGUAUUCCGUUGAUCUCAGAAUGGGGGCAGAUUGAAGGCGGAAAAGCACUGGGGAGAUGGCGGAACGUAUGACCUCCCAAAACCGCCUUUCUCCGUGCGCUUGCCUGAAUUUCUUCGGUGAGCGAAGCUGUCAUUUGAUGAACAUGAGAGAGUAUCAGCGAGUGGCUUCUCCUCCCACGUGUACAGGAGAAAGGCAUUUUGAAGUCCAUUCUCACGUUCAGCUGUUUGUGUGGUUCACGGCCGGCUGAUGGAGGGAUGGAGGUCAUGCCUCGCCUGCCGGGGCAUUCUGCUCUGGGGUCACGGCCCUCCUGCUGCUCUCCGGCUGCUUUUGGCACAUUUAAGAUGGACUGUGCACACCACUGGGAACGGUUUCUUACAAUGUUUGUGCAACUGGCCCUAAAAACAGCCAAUCCUGAUCUUAAUAGCAGGAUCAUCUUAAGGGAGAAGAGGCUGCCGGUUUUGGUCACCGUUCGCUGGCUAUCUCUAACGCUUCAUUCUACAGGCAGUAUCACAUUAACUAGAAAACAUGUAGUGGCGGCUUUUGUUUUCUGUCAAAUUGUCAGUCUCUCCAGCAAUUCUGCACUCUCAGAAAUGAGCGCGAAAUCAACCGACCUCUGCACUAUUUGCAAAGAGCUUGCAGCUUUUCAAAUUUACCGCAGCUUUUUCUGCAAAAACUGCCCAAAUCAACAGACUGCUUGCAUUUGGACCAUAACGUGUCUCAUGACUCCAUCGCAGUGCAAAUUCAUGUGUAUUUUUUGCUAGGCUGCGCUGCGGGGAUGAUGAGCACAGCAAAUUUCAUUUACUAAAUCACCACUAAAGACCAUGCAAAACGAUUCCUAAAAUUUUUUUGUACGAAAGUGGAGGCAAACUUUUGUAACAUUGUGGUAGAACACCUACAGCCAUAUGGAUGUAAGAAAUUGUUCAAAUUUUCCAGACAGCCUUUAAGUGUCCAUGUUAAGGUGAUGCAUUGUUUGCUUUCUGCUUAGUAUAGUAGGAGUUUUCUGUAAAAUGGAUGCAUUGUCUACAUUUUAAGUUGAGCAAUUGAUUGCAUCCUAUAUUCUGCCAUAUUCUGUUAAGUGGAGGCAUUGUAAAGAGCUGAGAUGAACAGGAUCUACGUUAAACAAACAAAGGGCACUUUGGAAAUGAAACUACAUUUUUCUGUUAACAUAUUUGAUUUUAUUUAUUUUUAUUUUGCUGCUAAUGUUGAAUUGAGUAUUUUUUUUACUAAGACUUAACUGGAACCAAAAGACAGUAUUUUCUUUAAUAAAUAUAAUUGAGCCCUUGAGUUUGGAAAAGAAAUAAAAAGAUCACAGAAACAUGAUUAUUUAUGUGAUAUAAAAAUAAACAUGCAAA